GCCAGCAUCCAUAUCACCCUGCAACUCAACUGGCAGCCCACUGAAGCUAAGCGUGCUUGAGCCUGUUCAAUACCUGGAUGGGAGACCUUUGGGGAAAAACUGAGGCUGCUGCUGGAA
This 117-nucleotide ribosomal RNA is filed under the name Lepisosteus oculatus (spotted gar). Lineage: Eukaryota; Metazoa; Chordata; Actinopteri; Semionotiformes; Lepisosteidae. The record is from RNAcentral.